RNAcentral lists this ribosomal RNA (478 nucleotides) under uncultured Glomus. Its description in RNAcentral is "SSU rRNA". It matches the Rfam family "Eukaryotic small subunit ribosomal RNA", at positions 569 to 1052 of the family's 1831-position model. Lineage: Eukaryota; Fungi; Glomeromycota; Glomeromycetes; Glomerales; Glomeraceae. The record is from RNAcentral.
AGCAGCCGCGGUAAUUCCAGCUCCAAUAGCGUAUAUUAAAGUUGUUGCAGUUAAAAAGCUCGUAGUUGAAUUUCGGGAUCAAUUAGUCGGUCGUGCCUCUGGUACGUACUGGUUUUAUUGGUUCCUCCCUUCUGACGAAACAUGAUGUCAUUAAUUUGGUGUCGUGGAGAAUCAGGACUGUUACCUUGAAAAAUUAGAGUGUUUAUAGCAGGCUAACGCUUGAAUACAUUAGCAUGGAAUAAUGAAAUAGGACGUUCGACCCUAUUUUGUUGGUUUCUAGGAUCGACGUAAUGAUUAAUAGGGAUAGUUGGGGGCAUUAGUAUUCAAUUGUCAGAGGUGAAAUUCUUGGAUUUAUUGAAGACUAACUACUGCGAAAGCAUUUGCCAAGGAUGUUUUCAUUAAUCAAGAACGAAAGUUAGGGGAUCGAAGACGAUCAGAUACCGUCGUAGUCUUAACCAUAAACUAUGCCGACUAGGGA